Hemicordylus capensis (graceful crag lizard) is the source of this 353-nucleotide long non-coding RNA. RefSeq lists it as uncharacterized. The record is from RefSeq and is a predicted model, not a curated record. The transcript has 2 exons. NCBI's taxonomy places the organism in Eukaryota, Metazoa, Chordata, Lepidosauria, Squamata, Cordylidae.
CUACCGGGUCCCCCCUAACCCGCCCACCACCCUACCUGGCCCAGGCAAUGGUCCCUUUCGGAAUAGACAGAGGGGUCUCCUCCCUCUUCUCCCCCCCCCCGCCCCGCCCCGCACACCGCCUGUCUGAGGCGCUCAACGGCUUCCCCUCCCGCCGGGAGACCAACGCCUCCUCUCUCUGGUCUCUCUCCACUCUGCUCUCCUCCUCAACUCACAGGAUGCCGGAGCAGGAGAAUAAUCCCAAGGUCGCCUGUUCUCAGUGAACUCAUAAAGUUUCCGCAAGGCUACACGGGCAGCUUCUUCUUCAGCAGCCAAUAUUGUUUCGCCAGUACCUUCAGCCAAAAGCUUCUUAUCAC